UUCACCCUGCAGUGUUCGAGGUGCCUUAUUAAACAGCUCUUCGCCUUUGCUACAUUACGGGAGCUAAGAACGUCGCGGAAGCUGCUAGGCCGUAAAUCGGAAAGCAAACGCUGCGGAGGAGGUGCCCACUUAUACUUAAAGAGGACUUGAGCCCUUGAGGCAUACGGCACAGGCGGGGUGUUA
This 183-nucleotide non-coding RNA is filed under the name Opitutaceae bacterium. RNAcentral describes it as "6S RNA". It matches the Rfam family "6S / SsrS RNA". From Rfam's summary of the family: E. coli 6S RNA was the first non coding RNA to be sequenced, but its function was unknown until recently. It consists of 184 nucleotides that fold into an extended hairpin structure with a large single-stranded internal bulge. The record is from RNAcentral. Lineage: Bacteria; Pseudomonadati; Verrucomicrobiota; Opitutia; Opitutales; Opitutaceae.